Erinaceus europaeus (western European hedgehog) is the source of this 123-nucleotide small nucleolar RNA. The record is from Ensembl. Lineage: Eukaryota; Metazoa; Chordata; Mammalia; Eulipotyphla; Erinaceidae.
AGAGGAACUAAUUUCCAUUGUUUGAGAGAGAAAGUGCUGAAGGGAUGCUAACAGCAAGGGGAACCUCGCCGCCUCUGGAGGACUCUCUGUGCCCUUCAAAGUGAACUUGGAGGUUCUACACAC